RNAcentral lists this long non-coding RNA (233 nucleotides) under Vulpes vulpes (red fox). Its description in RNAcentral is "lncRNA (ENSVVUG00000013298.1)". The record is from RNAcentral. Lineage: Eukaryota; Metazoa; Chordata; Mammalia; Carnivora; Canidae.
UUUCACUCUCCAUCAGUAAACACCCAUAUCUAUGAUAAAUCUCACUUAUAUGUUCCCGGAUCCACAAUUCAAAGUCAACUGAACGAAGCUGCAGGUGCUACACAUGAAUGAGAAAGCUGAGCCUGAUGAUUUGAUCUCGAAGGGUUCAGGUCAUGAUGUCAAGGCCCUGGGAUCGAGUCCUGUCUUGGCUCUAAGAACCAGAAGAUUCUCAAGGUAAAGUGCCAGGAAAGUCC